GACAACCUAAAGCACGUUCAAGCAUCAGAAAUCGACACCUUCGUCAAGGACCUGCACGCCCUUUGCAGGACCAACGCCAUCGACGCCCAAAACGGGUCCUCCAAGGUUGUGGUCAUAAGCCAAUUGCUCGAGCUCCUGACCUUGAACAUCAUAAUCAGAAUGAUCGCGAGCAAGAGAUACUUCGGACUAUUGUCAGCGUCGACGGGGUCCUCCACCGACGACGAUGAGGAGGCGAGUCACCUGAGGAAAGUGAUCAAAGAAUUCAUGUACAUCUCCGGGUUCCCCACGGUCUCAGAGCUGGUGCCCUUCACGGGAUGGACCGACUGCGUGGGGACCGUGAAGACCAUGAAGAGGGUGGCGAGAGAGAUGGAUGAGAUCGUCGGGAAAUGGGUUGAAGAGCACAAGCUGAAGAGAGAAGGUGAUCAGAGAGGGGAAGUGAUCGGUGAUGUGAAGGAGGAUUUCAUAGACGUGAUGCUGUCCGUGAUCGGGGAGGACGGUUUAGCCCAGUUUGGUCACUCUCCCGAGACACUCAUCAAGGCAACAGUAGUGGUAUGCGACUCUUGCGAUGGACCUCUUUCCAUUAUUAGCAUAAAGUAAUUGGGUUCUCCAUUUUAUUCCCUUCCCUUAGUACUUCAUUGAUGAUCCUUGACUGGAAGAAAGGAAAGGAAUCGAUAGUCCAAAGGCUCCCACCGAGCCCAUUAUUGGCCUUUUCUUGACCAAAGGGUGUUGGAAAAUAUCUUAUGGUCAAUUUUUACUUUUCAUAGCAAAAAGUUGUUGCUAUUAUGUCUGCGAUCUUUGUCAUCGGAAUUUUAAAUUAUGCCUAUUUUAACAUCUAGCUCAAAUCUUUAUUCUGUUACCACUAUACGCAAUAUGUUAACAUCCCAAACUUUUUUUUUUUAGCAAUAUCUCAAACUCGUACGAACAUGACAAAAAUACUCUUCAUCCGCCAAAAAAUCCAAACCUUGGACUCUUUAAGUUCAAGAGUAUUGGUGUUAUAGUGGGCAAAGUUUAGAAUUUUUUUGUGAUAGAUGGAGAGUAUUUUUGUGAAACUAGUAUGUUUGGUAUAUUGGUGCCUGUGUGAGAAUAUUUUAUGAUGUUUUUAUGGUAAACAAAGGAUACAUUUUGUCAUAUAGAUGCAACGUUGGGAAGUUUUAGUGACUUAAAGAAGAGUUUGAGAUAUUGAUGUCACGAUCAAUAUAAUUUAGGACUUUUGGCCAUAUGUUUCCUGAAAUCGUCUAAGCUUCUUCUUGACAAUUUUUCCAAUUGAUCCAGAAAAAGGGUAAUCGCUCAAUUUUUUUGGGUUUAUUGUUUUCAUAGAAUGAUGUAAAAGAAGAUUAGAAUUGGGCUGGAUCUAGCUCACCUUCAUAUUCAUACCCUACGCUAGCUUUGUCUUUCUAGAAUUGAUCUCUAGUCUAAACUAUAUGUACUUAUUCAUAUUCUUGGUCCUCUGUAAUUUUUUGUCUGGCCAAUUUACAUGCUGAAGAACAUUAUAGUGGCCGGAUCGGACACAACGUCUCUGAACUUGACAUGGGUCCUGUCUCUACUGCUCAACCACAAACACGUCUUGAAGAGAGCUCAAGAAGAGAUAGACCUCAAAGUGGGCAAGGACAAAUGGGUACAAGACUCUGACAUCGGGAGCUUGCAUUACCUCCAAGCCAUCGUCAAGGAAACCCUGCGCCUAUAUCCGCCAGGUACCUACAUUUUCAUGUGAUUCGCAAUGCUUGACACGACUCGAUAUUAACAUGUCAUAGUUGCCAUGCAAUUGGAAGCACCGAGGACGACAUCUAGAUGUCACGCAACAUGAUGCAUGUGUUGGAGAUGUAAUGAGAAGAAAUAUAUGAAAAUUUGAAUGAUCAUUUCUUGGUAUCAGGUCCCCUUUCGAUCCCGCAUGAAGCGAGAGCGGACUGCAAUGUGAGAGGCUAUCUCAUCCCAAAGGGCACUCGGAUAUUCGUCAACGUGUGGAAGCUGCACAGAGACCCUCAAGUCUGGUCCGACCCGGAAAAAUUCUUACCCGAACGGUUUUUGACAAAUCAUUCAGGUAUGAAGAUCUGCCCAUCAACCCUACACAUAUGAAACUCAUGAGAACAAUUUUAGGAAAUUGUUUGAAAGUAGUUUUGUAAAGCAAGGUUGGCCAUGAAUCCCAAUUUAGUCAAAAGAAAUGACCAACAAAAAAUAUGUUGAAUUUUUUUGUUUCAUUUUUUCCCUCGAAGGUGUGGAUGCUUCGGGUCAGCAUUUUGAAUUCAUUCCGUUUGGAUCGGGUCGAAGAAUAUGCCCGGGAGCCGCGUUCGCAUUGCGAGCGACCCACUUGACGUUGGCACGUCUUCUUCAAGGAUUCGACUUGGCAAUAUCAUCGGACGAACUAGUGGACAUGACCGAAGGCAUAGGGCUCAACCUACCCAAGGCCACUCCUCUUCGAGUCGUCCUCAACCCGAGGUUGCCUUCCAUGCUCUAUGAGAAAUUGACGGCGAAUUAGAAACCACUUUCGUCGGGAAGAGCAAAAAGGUUCCAUGUAUGUGAAUAAUCUCGCAUAACAAAAUAGUUACUUGAGUAGAUAAUAUGGAUUAUAUGAGUAUUAAACAACAAUCUUCUUAAUGUAGAUGCACUGAUUGUUGAAAUAAUUUGUUAUCAUAAAAGAGAUGUCCUUGGUUAAGAGAAUAUGUGACUCUUGAUUAAGAGAAGAAAUGACUUUUGAUCAAAGAAUACGUGACUCUUACUUAUGAAAAGAAGUGACUCUUCGUCCUAAAAGGAGAUUAUCGGUAUUUAUGAAAGGAAAUUAUUCUAGCCAAAAAUUGGCUCAAUGGAUCCAAUUGGUAAAAUGUAAAAAAGUUUAUGACUUAAUUGGUACAAUUAAAAGGUGUAGUUGGUAAAAAAUAUGGGUUUAAGAUUUUUUUUAGUAAAUUCCCCAUUAGUGUCUUAAUGGCUGGUCAUUGAGUGAGCAAGAGAAGUCGAGAGCUCUCAAAAGCUAUGAACUAGUUGCAAAUAUAGAUGACCUCAUAGCGCUAUGAGAAUUGUUGAAUAAUUAGAGCACUAUUAGUGUCCAACUCCUAAUGCAUAAGUCGUAUUAUUGGAAUACUUUAUGCAUAAGUCGGCUUUGAAACCUUACAUCUUGGAUGACUUUUAUAUUUAAAUAUUUUCGCGAAUGAUAGAAAUAUUUUUCAUUUAUUCAUACGAUCUUUUUUUAAGAAAAUAUUUUUCAGAUAAUUCAUAAAUAAACGAAGCUUUAGUUGAAAAAAAUCAUCUCAUUGGUCCCAACAUAACUGCAUUUACUUGUAGAAAUUGUGGUUCUCUUUGGACCAAAAUUUUCUUUUUCUGUAAUCAAUUAAGAAAAGACUUCCCUCCGGAACAAAGAUGGACCUCUCGCGCAAGACACCAUUACUGCGUUGACUAAGUCAACGGCCGACAAAACCAAUCGACAAAUAAUUAAUAUAUCGCGUAGUUACUUGUCGCUUUCCUUUAUUUGACUCUUGUGCAUCCCGUCCACUUUUCUCCCUUGUAUGUGUAAGUUAAAUCGAGGGAUAAUGCAUCAUUCAAUAAUCUAAAUUCUGCCACUAUAUUAUCAAAAAAUAAUUCUACUAAUAUAGAUGAGCUAAAUAAUGUCGAUACCCGAAACAUUCAAUUAAUUUCCCCGACUAGGUUAUAAAGUUGCGAAAAAUUUAUAUGUGAUAACUUAAAUACGAAACUAUUUACAUUCGAUGGUAUAAAAAAUCGAAAUUAUAUAGCAUGCUUAGAUUAUGUGACCGCCUUAAUCAUUUGCUCUAUUUUUAUAAACAUAUUAUAGUAUGCUGCUUCUUUUUAAGUCUUGGCGUGUGAUAGUGCUUGCUUGCCAAAAGAAAUAGUGGGAAAAAAAGAAGAAAGAAUAGAAAGCGAAGCAAAGCAAAAGGACGAAAUGAAAUUAUAUUAACCAUUCAUGUCCAACUCUGUUGUUUACCACAUACCUUCUCUCUGUCUCCGUCUCUGUCUCUCUGUCUCUCUGUAAACCACCAUGCUCUUCCUCACUCAUCUCCUAGCAGUUCUAGGGGUUGUGUUGCUCCUGCUAAUUCUAUGGAGGGCAAGAUCUUCUCCGAACAAACCCAAAGGUACUGCCUUACCCCCGGAGCUGCCGGGCGCAUGGCCGAUCAUAGGCCACAUCCACUUGCUGGGCGGCGAAACACCGCUGGCCAGGACCCUGGCCGCCAUGGCGGACAAGCAGGGCCCGAUGUUUCGGAUCCGUCUCGGAGUCCACCCGGCGACCAUCAUAAGCAGCCGUGAGGCGGUCCGGGAGUGCUUCACCACCCACGACAAGGACCUCGCUUCUCGCCCCAAAUCCAAAGCGGGAAUCCACUUGGGCUACGGGUAUGCCGGUUUUGGCUUCGUAGAAUACGGGGACUUUUGGCGCGAGAUGAGGAAGAUCACCAUGCUCGAGCUCCUAAGUACUCGAAGGUAGGGCUAUAGGAUUACAAUCUGAAUUCAGUUUUAAUUCGGUUGAAUUUGGUUUGGAAUAUGAAAGCCAAAGUCAAACUCGAAAGCUUCUCUUUUCAACUUCGAUUCGCGUAUCAAGCUUGACCCAACCGAACCCCGACCGCACUGUUCCCUCAUAAUCGAUUGAUGAAGGCUCUCUCUGUCUCUCUUGCAGGCUCGACAACCUAAAGCACGUUCAAGCAUCAGAAAUCGACACCUUCGUCAAGGACCUGCACGCCCUUUGCAGGACCAACUCCAUCGACGCCCAAAACGGGUCCUCCAAGGUGGUGGUCAUAAGCCAAUUGCUCGAGCUCCUGACCUUGAACAUCAUAAUCAGAAUGAUCGCGAGCAAGAGAUACUUCGGACUGUCGUCGGCGUCGACCGGGUCCUCCGCCGACGACGAUGAGGAGGCGAGUCACCUGAGGAGAGUGAUCAAGGAAUUCAUGUACAUCUCCGGGUUCCCCGCGGUCUCAGACCUGGUGCCCUUCACGGGAUGGACCGACUGCGUGGGGACCGUGAAGACCAUGAAGAGGGUGGCGAGAGAGCUGGAUGAGAUCGUCGGG
Molecule: long non-coding RNA, 5000 nt
Filed under: Eucalyptus grandis
Lineage: Eukaryota; Viridiplantae; Streptophyta; Magnoliopsida; Myrtales; Myrtaceae
Description: long non-coding RNA (EGRA_LNC004587)
Source: RNAcentral